This is a long non-coding RNA of Lagenorhynchus albirostris (white-beaked dolphin), 1251 nucleotides long. RefSeq lists it as uncharacterized. The transcript is spliced from 3 exons. NCBI's taxonomy places the organism in Eukaryota, Metazoa, Chordata, Mammalia, Artiodactyla, Delphinidae. The record is from RefSeq and is a predicted model, not a curated record.
GAAACGCUUGUACGGAAGGAGUAAUUGCAGCCCCCAGAUCUCCCAGGACUCGUAAACUAAGACCAGGAGGGCACACGCUUCUUGUCCCUGGCCUGACCUCCUUUGCUCCCUUCACCAGGAAGAGACUGGCCAUGCUCCAGAUGGGGAUUCUCCAGGCAGCCUGGGUCCCAGAGUGAAGCUGCACAGAGCUGAGCCCCCAGCUGACCUGCAAUGAACACCCAGUGAUCUCCCCUCUCUGGCUCCAGUGUCUUCAGCAGUAACUCAUCAACACAGUACAGUCACAUCACAGGCCCAUCACCUGAGAAGCACCACCACCAGUCUACUCCAGGAAUGAAGAUCUUUCAGCUGCUGAGUGGUGUGGAUGGAUAAAGAGCCUGGCUGACUGGUUUAGGAGACAAUCCAGGUUAGUGACAGCUCAGUUACAGGACAGUUAUAAGGCAUCAUGGUUGUCUUCAAAUAUUUGAAGGGUUGAAGGAGGGGUUAGAUCUAGUCUUUGUGGGUUGAAGGGGAAGAAGAACCAAAUGGAUGUACAUACGUACAGAUAAGUUUAUCUUCCCUAAAUAAGAACUUGAGGCUGGUUGCAUUGGAAGUAAUGAGUAUAUUUACAGCAGAAGUAUUUAAAACCAGGGCAGAAUGACCACUUGACUGGGAUGUUACCAAGGGGAUUCAUGCCUCUAAGAUGUGAUUUAUGGAAGUCUAAUCAAAUCCUUCUGGCUCCAAGCUUCUGUGAUUCUAUAUUUUCACACUUGGCCCAGGCCAACUGAGGUCUAACUGUUCUAGUUUCUUAUCUACUCUUCACAAAGUAUUUACUCUCAGUUCUAAUUAAUUAGCAUUUGCAAGCAUAUUAUUUUUACAUUUCUAAGCAAAGAUACUCUUAUUGUUUUUUUGUAAUAUUUAAAAAGGCAAUUUAGUGUUGGGUUUUCUUUUUCACAUAUAGCAUUGAUAUAUCGAUAUUUACCUCUAGGUAGUGAAGCUGCUAUACUUCUGUGAGAAAAUGGGCAGUGGCACACGCACACGUGCACACAUAUCCACAUGUAGUCUGGUGUGUGUGUACUGCCUUAUUUUAGGUAUGCUUUGUCUGUGUACUUAUAUGCUGUUCAUGCUAGGAUCCAUCCUCUUUCACAGCCAAAGAAAUUUUACAAACUCUUCCUUUCCUUUCUUUCACUUUUGUUUUUUAUUGUGGACACUGUGCUGCUGUUCCCUGAGUCUAAAGAUGCGGGGGGAGAGAAGGGAGAGUGCAGUCAGUGAAAA